Molecule: long non-coding RNA, 407 nt
Filed under: Manihot esculenta (cassava)
Lineage: Eukaryota; Viridiplantae; Streptophyta; Magnoliopsida; Malpighiales; Euphorbiaceae
Description: long non-coding RNA (MESC_LNC001030)
Source: RNAcentral
UCUGCGUGGCCUCUACCGUGAUAUAUAUAUCUGUCUCUCUGCCACAAUGCUAGCUGUCUUCUGCCGCCUAGCUCCGUAUGUACGGAUGUGUCAGGCGCCUGCUCCAUGCGUAACGGCCAUUAAUUCUCCUCUGAUACGCAUGUGGAAGGACCUACCAGCCUGGCAUCUUGGUCAUUAUCCCCUUUCCGGGCUGGGUUGAAUGGUAGGGCUGAAGUUGAGCCUGGUGAGGGCCUGAUUACUGGGCCGAGAGGUUUGGGCCGGCUUGAUUGAGGAGUCUAGGCGGAGUCCGGCCCUGUGACUGAGCGGGCUGGACCUGGCUCUCGAGGGGAAUAUUGAAGCCUUCGGAUCAUGGACUGUUUUCAUGGGCCUGGCCUUUAGACCGGGGUGAAGAAAUCCAGCGAUCAUCA